Molecule: ribosomal RNA, 478 nt
Filed under: uncultured bacterium
Lineage: Bacteria
Description: partial 16S ribosomal RNA
Rfam family: Bacterial small subunit ribosomal RNA
Source: RNAcentral
GACGAACGCUGGCGGCAUGCCUAACACAUGCAAGUCGAGCGAGUAGAUCCCUUCGGGGUGAAGCUAGCGGCGGACGGGUGAGUAACACGUGGGCAACCUGCCUCAUAGAGGGGAAUAGCCUUCCGAAAGGAAGAUUAAUACCGCAUAAGAUUGUAGUACCGCAUGGUAUAGCAAUUAAAGGAGCAAUCCGCGAUGAGAUGGGCCCGCGGCGCAUUAGCUAGUUGGUGAGGUAACGGCUUACCAAGGCGACGAUGCGUAGCCGACCUGAGAGGGUGAGCGGCCACAUUGGGACUGAGACACGGCCCAGACUCCUACGGGAGGCAGCAGUGGGGAAUAUUGCACAAUGGGGGAAACCCUGAUGCAGCAAUGCCGCGUGAGUGAUGACGGCCUUCGGGUUGUAAAGCUCUGUCUUCGGGGACGAUAAUGACGGUACCCGAGGAGGAAGCCACGGCUAACUACGUGCCAGCCGCCGCUGUAA